This 253-nucleotide ribosomal RNA is filed under the name uncultured bacterium. RNAcentral describes it as "partial 16S ribosomal RNA". It matches the Rfam family "Bacterial small subunit ribosomal RNA", at positions 524 to 776 of the family's 1533-position model. The record is from RNAcentral.
UACGGAGGGUGCGAGCGUUGUUCGGAAUCACUGGGCGUAAAGGGUGCGUAGGUGGCGAGGAAAGUCUGAUGUGAAAUCUCCGGGCUUAACCCGGAAAUGGCAUUGGAAACUACCUUGCUCGAGGAUUGGAGGGGGGACUGGAAUACUUGGUGUAGCAGUGAAAUGCGUAGAUAUCAAGUGGAACACCAGUGGCGAAGGCGAGUCCCUGGACAACUCCUGACACUGAGGCACGAAAGCUAGGGGAGCAAACGGG